CCUACGGGAGGCAGCAGUGGGGAAUAUUGGGCAAUGGAGGAAACUCUGACCCAGCAACGCCGCGUGAAUGAUGAAGGUCUUCGGAUUGUAAAGUUCUUUUCUAAGGGAAGAAGAAAGUGACGGUACCUUAGGAAUAAGCCUCGGCUAACUACGUGCCAGCAGCCGCGGUAAUACGUAGGAGGCAAGCGUUAUCCGGAAUGACUGGGCGUAAAGGGUGCGUAGGCGGCCUGCUAAGUCUGGAGUGAAAGGUACCGGCUCAACCGGUACAGGCUCUGGAAACUGGCGGGCUAGAGAGCAGGAGAGGG
Molecule: ribosomal RNA, 305 nt
Filed under: uncultured bacterium
Lineage: Bacteria
Description: bacterial SSU rRNA
Rfam family: Bacterial small subunit ribosomal RNA
Source: RNAcentral